This 498-nucleotide ribosomal RNA is filed under the name uncultured bacterium. RNAcentral's name for it is "bacterial SSU rRNA". It matches the Rfam family "Bacterial small subunit ribosomal RNA", at positions 12 to 509 of the family's 1533-position model. The record is from RNAcentral.
UUUGAUCCUGGCGUCAGGGAUGAACGCUAGCGGCAGGCCUAAUACAUGCAAGUCGUACGGGAUUGCCCCUUCGGGGGCGAUGAGAGUGGCGACGGGUGCGCAACGCGUAUGCAACCACCCCCGACUGGCGCACAGCCGGUGGAAACGCCGGGUGAUACGCCGUGCGGCGCGCGAGGGGCAUCCCUCGUGCGCGAUAGCCUUCGGGCGCCGGGGACGGGCAUGCGUCCCAUUAGGUAGUUGGCGGUGCAACGGGACCACCAAGCCUACGAUGGUAGGGGAUCUGAGAGGACGGUCCCCCACACUGGCACUGAGACACGGGCCAGACUCCUGCGGGAGGCAGCAGUAGGGGAUAUUGGGCAAUGGGGCAACCCUGACCCAGCCAUGCCGCGUGAGGGAAGUAGGCCCUACGGGUCGUGAACCUCUUUAUUCGGGACAACUGCGCGGUCGGGAACCGUGCUUGAGGGUACCGAAGGAAUAAGCAUCGGCUAACUCCGUGCC